Molecule: long non-coding RNA, 214 nt
Organism: Psammomys obesus (fat sand rat)
Lineage: Eukaryota; Metazoa; Chordata; Mammalia; Rodentia; Muridae
Exons: 3
Source: RefSeq, a predicted model, not a curated record
UUUAGCGAUUCUUAACAUUGUCCAUGACCAUGAAGCAAAUGUUCUUCACAGGAAACUGGGGCACGACUGAAGAAUCACAGAGGAAGAACCAGAAAAAAACAUCUGAAAGAGUUAUGGCUUUUAUUCAGUGAAACCCAGACAUUUAAUCAUUUGUGAAAUCCAACGACCUCCACCUAGAGGCUAGGUGAGGGCAAGUUCUUUCCUCCUGUGAAAU